Molecule: transfer RNA, 91 nt
Filed under: Gemmatimonadetes bacterium T265
Lineage: Bacteria; Pseudomonadati; Gemmatimonadota
Description: tRNA-Ser
Rfam family: tRNA
About the family: Transfer RNA (tRNA) molecules are approximately 80 nucleotides in length. Their secondary structure includes four short double-helical elements and three loops (D, anti-codon, and T loops).
Source: RNAcentral
GGAGAGGUGGCCGAGAGGCUGAAGGCACCGGUUUGCUAAACCGGCAUAGUGGGAAACCGCUAUCGAGGGUUCGAAUCCCUCUCUCUCCGCC